Molecule: non-coding RNA, 69 nt
Organism: Trichonephila inaurata madagascariensis
Lineage: Eukaryota; Metazoa; Arthropoda; Arachnida; Araneae; Nephilidae
Source: the annotation of a GenBank genome assembly
AUGUAGCGCAAUGGAUAACUCAUUGGACUUAUAAUCCAAAGGACGUGGGUCCGAAUCCCACCUGAGAUC